AGCUCCAAUAGUGUAUAUUAAAGUUGUUGUGGUUAAAAAGCUCGUAUUUAGAACUUACACUUGUCUUUGGAUCCUCAUAUUUUGAGUGUUAUCUAAAAGACAAGUGGAUAUGUUCAUAUAGUAAAUUUUACUAUUAUGAAUCCUUACUUUGAUAAAAAUUAAUGGAUUAAACAAGACUUUUGUCUGAAAAAUUCCGCAUGGGAUAAGAAAAUAUGGUUAUCUAGUCAUUUAUUGUAGCUAUUGACUUGUAACAAUGAUAAAUAGGAACAGAUGGGGUGACUUAUAUUCCAGGGGGAAGGGUGAAAUCUUAAGAUCCUUGGAAGAUAAACUAAAGCGAAAGCAUUUCACAAAAAUGUUUUCAUUG
Molecule: ribosomal RNA, 364 nt
Filed under: Shinkaiya sp.
Lineage: Eukaryota; Foraminifera; Syringamminidae
Description: partial small subunit ribosomal RNA
Rfam family: Eukaryotic small subunit ribosomal RNA
Source: RNAcentral